AAUCAUUUAGAUAAUAAUCAUACUAUAAAAUGAAAUGUUUAUACGGUGGAAAUUGAUUAUAAUAUACGAUAUAAUUAUUGUGACACUUUUAUAUUUCAAUACAAUAUGUGCAACAGGCGUAAGAAAUCCAAUGAAAUUUGCUGGCGUAGUAGAAAAUAUUACAGUGUACGUUUUGGAAGAUACAAAUUAUUUCCAAAGUGACAGUGUACAGAAAUCAUUGAAAAUGAAUGUGUCUUGGAUGCCACCGAGUGAAGGAAAACAACCUUCUUCGUACAGCAUUAUGAUUACAAGUGUCUCGAAAGAAACUGACAGAAAUGAGACGGAAUGUACGGAAGACUCUGCGUUAUACACUACACAAAACAAAAGUACAUUUAGCAUAAUAAUACCACAAAAUCACUUAUACGGCAUACCAAAGUUACAAAUACGUCCAAAUUGUACGUACAAGAUACACGUUUAUGCCAAUCCGAGAGCUCCCGCAAGAAAGCUACCAGAGGUUAUCUACAACGUUCCAGAAUGCAUAGGACGUAAAUGCAAUUGCGCGUAUGCAACAUCUAUUUUGCCCAUUCCAGAAGUAGAAGUAAUCCAAAGAAAAAAAAGCGUUAUUAUCAACUGGAAAAUUACAUCAAAUAGUUCUCAUAUUCAUUCUUACAUAAUUAGUAUUGGCAUACCAUUGAUGAUAUCGCAAGCAGGGCAUUCUGUAUAUAAUAUCACAAAGAUAAGUAACGUGACCUCUACAAUAAAUACUUUUAAUUGGGAUAUGAGAAUUAACGAUCGGUAUACAAAAAUGAAAAGUGGAUACAAGGUAUUAGUAGCAGCAAUGGAUCAUCAAGGUUGCUUAGGAAAUCAAGGUGGCUUCAUUGUUAAUGAUACAAACAAAACUAAAAUAUUGGAUGGGAGCACCAUGUGGUUAUUACUUGUCGGCAUCAUCAUUUGUAUUAUAUUAAGCUUUAUCUGCAUUAUAUCAAUAUAUAAUAAAAAUGGAUAUCAUCUUGUAUCAGUUAGACGAAGACGAACAGUGUCUGAUCUUUCCGCUUGCAAGUUAGCUCAAUGGCCAGAUCUAGUUUUCCAAAGACGCAACACUGAUGUAUAUGUUGAUCAAAAAUCCGAGGAGACACAUUGCAAGCCACAGAAGGACGCAUUUGAAAUGCCAUAUAAAUGUAUAAAUCUGACAUGUGAAUUAGGAAAAGGGCAGUUCGGUAAAGUAUAUCUAGGCACCGUGAACAAUGAAAGCACGUUAGUAGCCGUUAAAAUGUCUCAAUGUUUUGACGCGUGCAACGAACCAGAAGUUAGACGUCAAUUAUUAGAAGAAAUCAAGAUAAUGAAAAUGGCUGGUCCACAUAAGCAUUUAGUGAACCUCAUAGGUUGUUGUACUUCACCGAACAAUCCUAUAUGUAUAAUUUUGGAAUACAUGGAGGGUGGAGAUUUGCUUGAGUAUCUACAUUAUAGAAGAAAAAUACAAACGGACGACACGUCUUUGUGCAAUUUUGAAAAAAUUGCAUCCAGAUACGCAAAUAUUUUUGAGAAAAACAAAAACAAUGAUGAAAAUGUAUACGACGUAAUCGAAAGACAACAAUUUAUAAAAUUUGCACUCGACAUCGUAAAAGGAAUGGAACAUUUAGAAGCUAAAAACAUCAUACAUCGAGAUUUGGCGGCAAGAAACAUCCUUCUCACCUCAAAUCUAACGCUAAAGAUCUCUGAUUUUGGUCUGUCACGAAAUGGAGUGUACGUGAUAAAUAAUAUAUCUGGCAAAACUCGUCAACUCCCAAUACGUUGGAUGUCACCGGAAGCUAUACGCGAUCAUGUUUUCUCUUCUAAAAGCGAUGUUUGGUCAUUCGGUGUUGUGCUCUGGGAAAUUGGAACUCUAGGUUUUUUUCCAUAUGCUAAUAUACAGGACAAUGAAUUAUUACAUUAUUUAACUCAGGAAAAAUGUCACCUGGAAUGUCCCAAAACGAUUUCUCAUGAUAUAUAUAACAUUAUGUGCUCCUGUUGGAACACUAUACCGCAUGAUAGACCCAGUUUCACACAACUUGCUUUAGACCUGCAGAUAUUAAACAAACCUCUAUGUUCUAUGUACGAGGCAAAUAAUCCUUGUUACGCACUCUUAUCACAUUAAUAUAUCGUAGAAUCAAUAAAUAAGAUAUUUUAUAUAUAUGAAUUACUGGGCAAAAUUAGAAGAACAAAAGUUUGAAAUAACACCAACUUCAUAAAAGUUGAACAAAAAAUCUGAAUUGUUAAUAUGAUUGACCCUUACAAAGUCUCCCCACUAUGGAUCCAGUUCGGAAUUAUGCCCCUUGAAGCAACCCCCUGUCAAAAACAGAAGUUGCAAGAUUGUAGUUUAAAAAGUACAGGGCAAUCUAAUGCAAAAAAAAAUGGCUUGGAAAAAUUCGGAAAUGGGCCCAACCACACCCGCAAAGGUCUCUGGCACUCCUUCUUAACCACGAAACUCACCCCUUUCAACCUUUGUCACUUCUUUGGUCGGACAGCAAAAACAGUGAAUCGCGAUUACACCAGCCUACUUAGUGGUUGCUUCAUAGCACGAAUUGCAUUUGAGACAAAAAAAUCAUUGUUCUCUCUCCGCCAUCUGGUUCAGCCAUGGCUUCAGCUAAUACCGAGGGGACUUCCGAAAAGUCAGAGGUAGAGUGGACGACUAGGUGAGGGUUUUAGUGGGCAGGCUACACCGGCACCAGUUAAGACUGGGAGUCGGUGUAGAAUCACACACUACCCGGGAGUACGGGCUCCCGGGUGUCUUUUGAAGAUUUCCCUCAUCCGCGCAAAACAAAAAAAAAAAGGUUGGUGGAUGUUCGUACCCAAUUUUUAUUUUAUAUUCGUACUGCUCGGAAGUUAAUAACGUUUCGACAUCAGUUAGUGUCGAUACUUAAGACUUUAAAUUAAAUUAUAGUCGGUGCUCCGAGUUGAUCUCUUUAUCUGCUAAAUUAGGAGAUGAAAUCAAAUUCGCGUUGGGCAACAAAAUUACUCUGGUAAGUCAUUCUAGGAUUAAUAAUAAAUUAUCGGCAUCAUAUAUUGUUUAUGGUCAUUAGAAAGCUUGUAAUUCAGAUUUUUAUAAUCCAGUUUUUGUUCAUAUGUCCAGUAAUUAUUAGAAGAAAGGUUUAUAUUUCCAGUAAGAAAUUAAACAACUCCCAUAUAAGCUAUACUAAAACUUCGAAACUUUUUCUACCAUAUGUAUGGUAGAAAGCUUAUUUCAUAUUUCACAAGAAUGUGUAUUGACACUUGAAUAAUUCCCGUAAGUAAGAGGUAAACCUGCAGUACUUUAUUAUGUGCAUAAACCAUGUUAAAGGGGGAACCUCAUGUAAAUCGAAAUUUUUUAGCAAUUUUUUUCUUGCUUAAAUUUAUAGGAAAUUUUCCGUACAAUAAAAAAAAAGUAGAAACCGAUUUGAGACUUUCUUCUAUGUUAUUUUCGUCGAAAAGUGAACAGUGGGCGGAGCACUCAAGUAGACGAAUCGGGAACUCAGCCUUUUGAUCCCUCUGUAACAAAUAUUAACCUGGCUGUGUUAAAGUAAUGUUCGAGGAACAAGAAGAUCUGCUCUAUGGCCCUGGAAUCGCAGAUUAGCAAAAGAUUGCGAUCAUUUUUGUGACCUGUACGCUGCACGGCACAUUUUCCAGACGCCAUUUUCAAGCCGCCAUUGCACCGUUAUUAUAAACAAUUAAAGUUUGAAAAAAAAAUAUUUUUUACAUUGUAAUGUCCAUAAAUUGUACUUUAAAUUUCAAAUCAAUCUACGCGUUAUUUUUCAAAAAAAUUCUUGAAAAACAGGCUGUUUACAUGAGGUUCUCCUGUUAAGUAAGUCUUACGUCUGCUCAUAGCUAGACUUAAGACGAUCUAUGAAUUCAAUCCAAAAUGACAAAAAUAAAUUGUGAUUAAAAAUUAU
Molecule: unclassified non-coding RNA, 3884 nt
Filed under: Monomorium pharaonis (pharaoh ant)
Lineage: Eukaryota; Metazoa; Arthropoda; Insecta; Hymenoptera; Formicidae
Description: fibroblast growth factor receptor 3, transcript variant X3
Rfam family: R2 RNA element (bases 2635-2770)
Source: RNAcentral